UCCGACAUCGUUGACCAUCUC
Molecule: non-coding RNA, 21 nt
Filed under: Caenorhabditis elegans
Lineage: Eukaryota; Metazoa; Nematoda; Chromadorea; Rhabditida; Rhabditidae
Source: RNAcentral